This 295-nucleotide ribosomal RNA is filed under the name uncultured bacterium. RNAcentral's name for it is "partial 16S ribosomal RNA". It matches the Rfam family "Bacterial small subunit ribosomal RNA", at positions 28 to 334 of the family's 1533-position model. RNAcentral also lists the same sequence under 1 other name. The record is from RNAcentral.
GAUGAACGCUGACAGAAUGCUUAACACAUGCAAGUCUACUUGAACUUCGGUUUGGGUGGCGGACGGGUGAGUAACGCGUAAAGAACUUGCCUCACAGUUAGGGACAACAUUUGGAAACGAAUGCUAAUACCUGAUAUUAUGAUUUUAGGGCAUCCUAAGAUUAUGAAAGCUAUAUGCGCUGUGAGAGAGCUUUGCGUCCCAUUAGCUAGUUGGAGAGGUAACGGCUCACCAAGGCGAUGAUGGGUAGCCGGCCUGAGAGGGUGAACGGCCACAAGGGGACUGAGACACGGCCCUU